This 207-nucleotide unclassified non-coding RNA is filed under the name Hevea brasiliensis (rubber tree). Lineage: Eukaryota; Viridiplantae; Streptophyta; Magnoliopsida; Malpighiales; Euphorbiaceae. The record is from RNAcentral.
UGAGAUCUCAUCUAGAUAUGAACAUUCUGAAGACGAUUCAAUGUAUGGCUGUGGUUCAGAUGAUGAAAAUAGGAAGAAUUUGUAUACUCAGAGCAGCAUACAAUAUAGCAAUGAAAAUGUUGAGAAUGAGAAUCCGCUGCUUAUCAAUUCAUCAGUAGCAUUUGGUUCAGAGGAUUGGGAUGAUUUUGAGCAAGAAACAGGGGGAGG